GGUGAACGCUGGCGGCGUGCCCAAUACAUGCAAGUCGAGCGAACGGACGAGAAGCUUGCUUCUCUGAUGUUAGCGGCGGACGGGUGAGUAACACGUGGAUAACCUACCUAUAAGACUGGGAUAACUUCGGGAAACCGGAGCUAAUACCGGAUAAUAUUUUGAACCGCAUGGUUCAAAAGUGAAAGACGGUCUUGCUGUCACUUAUAGAUGGAUCCGCGCUGCAUUAGCUAGUUGGUAAGGUAACGGCUUACCAAGGCAACGAUGCAUAGCCGACCUGAGAGGGUGAUCGGCCACACUGGAACUGAGACACGGUCCAGACUCCUACGGGAGGCAGCAGUAGGGAAUCUUCCGCAAUGGGCGAAAGCCUGACGGAGCAACGCCGCGUGAGUGAUGAAGGUCUUCGGAUCGUAAAACUCUGUUAUUAGGGAAGAACAUAUGUGUAAGUAACUGUGCACAUCUUGACGGUACCUAAUCAGAAAGCCACGGCUAACUACGUG
This 497-nucleotide ribosomal RNA is filed under the name uncultured bacterium. Its description in RNAcentral is "partial 16S ribosomal RNA". It matches the Rfam family "Bacterial small subunit ribosomal RNA", at positions 28 to 507 of the family's 1533-position model. The record is from RNAcentral.